AGAGUUUGAUCCUGGCUCAGAAUCAACGCUGGCGGCGUGCCUAACACAUGCAAGUCGAGCGCGAAAGGGGGGCAACCCCCAAGUAGAGCGGCGAACGGGUGAGUAACGCGUGGGUGAUCUACCUUCGAGUGGGGAAUAACACCGGGAAACUGGUGCUAAUACCGCAUGACAUCUCUGGUUCAUUCUGGAGAUCAAAGCCGGGGACCGAAAGGCCUGGCGCUUGAAGAGGAGCCCGCGUCCGAUUAGCUAGUUGGCGGGGUAACGGCCCACCAAGGCUCCGAUCGGUAGCCGGCCUGAGAGGGCGGACGGCCACACUGGGACUGAGACACGGCCCAGACUCCUACGGGAGGCAGCAGUGGGGAAUUUUUCGCAAUGGGGGAAACCCUGACGAAGCAACGCCGCGUGGAGGAUGAAGGCCUUCGGGUCGUAAACUCCUGUCGACCGGGACGAACGCGCCCGACCUAAUACGUCGGAUCGUUGACGGUACCGGUGGAGGAAGCCACGGCUAACUCUGUGCCAGCAGCCGCGGUAAUACAGAGGUGGCAAGCGUUGUUCGGAAUUACUGGGCGUAAAGGGCGCGUAGGCGGCCCUUCAAGUCCCGCGUGAAAUC
RNAcentral lists this ribosomal RNA (610 nucleotides) under uncultured Acidobacteriota bacterium. RNAcentral describes it as "bacterial SSU rRNA". It matches the Rfam family "Bacterial small subunit ribosomal RNA", at positions 8 to 601 of the family's 1533-position model. The record is from RNAcentral. Lineage: Bacteria; Pseudomonadati; Acidobacteriota.